RNAcentral lists this ribosomal RNA (373 nucleotides) under uncultured bacterium. RNAcentral's name for it is "bacterial SSU rRNA". It matches the Rfam family "Bacterial small subunit ribosomal RNA", at positions 28 to 404 of the family's 1533-position model. The record is from RNAcentral.
GACGAACGCUGGCGGCGUGCUUAACACAUGCAAGUCGAGCGGUAAGGCCCUUCGGGGUACACGAGCGGCGAACGGGUGAGUAACACGUGGGUGACCUGCCUCUAGCUCUGGGAUAAGCCUGGGAAACUGGGUCUAAUACCGGAUAUGACUCCACGGCGCAUGUUGUGGGGUGGAAAGCCUUGUGUGGCUAGAGAUGGGCCCGCGGCCUAUCAGCUUGUUGGUGGGGUGAUGCCCUACCAAGGCGACGACGGGUAGCCGGCCUGAGAGGGCGACCGGCCACACUGGGACUGAGACACGGCCCAGACUCCUACGGGAGGCAGCAGUGGGGAAUCUUGCGCAAUGGGCGAAAGCCUGACGCAGCGACGCCGCGUGA